RNAcentral lists this unclassified non-coding RNA (145 nucleotides) under soil metagenome. RNAcentral describes it as "partial internal transcribed spacer 1". The record is from RNAcentral.
UAAUAAGUGUUUUAUGGCACUUUUUAGAUCCAUAUCCACCUUGUGUGCAAUGUCAGUCGAUCUUCUUCAUGGAGAUCGACCAAACAUCAACCGUUAUUUUUUAACUCUUUGUCUGAAAAAUAUUAUGAAUAAACAAUUCAAAAUA